UGCCCAAGUGCCAGCGCGGCCCCGGGGCCCUCCUCGGGGCGGUCCGGCUGCUGGCGGCCGUGCCUGGACUCUGCCAGCGCCCGGAAAACAGAUGUGCUACUUCAAAUGCAGUAACAUGUACAAAGUGUCUUGCUCUGGGUCCAGAGUGUGGAUGGUGUGCUCAGGAGGAUUUCAUGGCUGACUCAACACAGAAGGGACGCUGUGACACUGUUUUCAACUUAUUGAAAAGAGGCUGCCAAUCGGAUUUUGUAGAAAGUCCCACAGUUCAUGUUACAAUACCCAGUGACCAAGAAACAAAUACACAAGUGACUCCAGGAAGAGUUUCAGUCCAACUGCGUCCAGGAAGUGAAGCAAGCUUUAUAUUAAAAGUUCAUCCUCUGGAGAAGUACCCUGUGGAUCUUUACUAUUUAGUUGAUGUCUCAGCUUCUAUGCACAACAACAUAGAAAAACUAAAUUCUGUUGGAUUUGCUUUAUCUAAGAAGAUGGAGAAUAUUUCUCUUGAUUUUCGACUUGGAUUUGGAUCCUAUGUGGAUAAAACAGUGUCACCCUAUAUUAGCAUUCACCCAGGUAGAAUCCAUAACCAAUGCAGUGAUUAUAAUUUAGAUUGUAUGCCACCUCAUGGUUAUAUUCACGUGCUAUCCCUGACUGACAACAUAGCAGAAUUCAGAAAUGCAGUGAAUAAACAAAAAAUUUCUGGGAAUAUUGAUACACCUGAAGGGGGUUUUGAUGCAAUGCUCCAAGCAGCUGUGUGCCAGAGCCACAUUGGAUGGCGCAAAGAAGCCAAGCGACUACUUCUAGUGAUGACAGACCAAACUUCCCAUCUAGCCCUAGACAGUAAAUUAGCAGGGAUUGUGAUUCCCCACGAUGGAAACUGCCAUUUGAAAGAUAAUGUUUACGUCAAAGCUACGAGUAUGGAGCAUCCAUCUCUUGGUCAGCUCUCUGAAAAAUUGAUUGACAAUAACAUCAAUGUCAUUUUUGCAGUUCAAGGAAGCCAGUUCCAUUGGUAUAAAGAUUUGUUACCUCUGUUGCCUGGUACUGUUGCGAGACAGAUAGAAUCACAAGCAGCAAAUCUCAAUGAUUUGGUGGUAGAAGCUUAUCAGAAACUAAUCUCUGAAGUGAAAAUUCAAGUGGAUAACCAGAUCCAGGAUCUUAAUUUCAAUAUCACUGCAAUCUGUCCUGAUGGAAGCAAAAAAACUGGCAUGGAAGGAUGUAAAAACGUUGGAUAUAAUGAAGAAGUUCUUUUCAAUGUAUCAGUCACAAUGAAAGGAUGUGAUACAACUGGGGGAAGAAAAUAUGCAAUACUUAAGCCUAUUGGUUUCAAUGAAACCACCAUUAUUAAUGUACAGAAAAGCUGUGCCUGUCAGAAUGGAGACAACGCAAAGCCCAAGAGAGUGUGGACUGAUGAAACCUUUCCUGAUGUCAAACAGCCCCAUUGCAGUGACAGCAGUUGCAGCUACAGCAGAGAGAUGUUUCCUUCUGAAGAGUGCAGGCAGCACAAGGACCAGCCCAUCUGCAGUGGCCAAGGAGAUUGCAUAGAGGGAAAAUGUUUCUGCUACAAGAACAAGCUAGGCAGGGUGUAUGGCAAAUACUGUCAAAUGGAUGAUUUUUCUUGCCCAUAUCACCAGGGAAGCUUAUGUUCUGGUAAUGGUGAAUGUGAAGCUGGUAAAUGUAAAUGCUUUGCUGAUUGGGAAGGUGACCGUUGCCAGUGUUCAUUACAAUCAGCAAAGCAGUGCCUGAAUUCAAAGGGCCAGAUUUGCAGUGGAAGAGGAAAUUGUGUAUGUGGAAAAUGUGAGUGCACUGACCCAAGAAGCUUUGGCCGUUUGUGUGAAUACUGCCCUGCUUGUAACAAAGCCUGUGAAGAAAACUGGAAUUGUGUUCAAUGCCAUCAUUCUAACAAUGCAUCUCAAGCUAAACUUGACCAGUGUAAAACCUCAUGUGCUUACCUAUUGCAUUAUGUUGACCAAACUUCAGAAUGUUUCUCUGGACGAAGCUACUUUAGAGUGUUUUCCAUAAUCUUUAUAGUUACGUUUCUGAUUGGGUUGCUUGUUGUACUUAUCAUCAGGCAGAUAAUUCUGCAGGGAAAUAGCAAUAAAGUUAAAUCUUCAGCUGAUUACAGAGUCUCUGCGACAAAGAAGGAAAAGAUGUUUUUGCCUACUGUUUGUACAAGAACAGUAACAUACAGACGUGACAAACCAGAGGAAAUAAAUAUCGACAUCAGCAAGUUGCGGUUAAAUGAAACUUUCAAGUGUGAAUUCUGAAGACAGUGUGUUUUCUGCAAAUGUCUAUUUCCAUCAUUCUCUACUUUUUAGAAGUUACCACUCUGUCAGAAUCUCGACUGUUGCUGUUUGUCAUGCGUUUUGUUGGAUACUGUAACAACGUGACAUAUACCAUUGACCAGAAAAAGGCUUGCUGCUCAAGCUCUCCAAAGAGGAAUGAAACCUAAGUUACAGCCUCUAAAGCCGGAGGAGG
Lagopus leucura (white-tailed ptarmigan) is the source of this 2469-nucleotide RNA transcript. It is a transcript of the gene named integrin subunit beta 8, with no coding region annotated. The transcript is spliced from 15 exons. The record is from RefSeq and is a predicted model, not a curated record. Lineage: Eukaryota; Metazoa; Chordata; Aves; Galliformes; Phasianidae.